Molecule: small RNA, 103 nt
Filed under: Epilithonimonas mollis
Lineage: Bacteria; Pseudomonadati; Bacteroidota; Flavobacteriia; Flavobacteriales; Weeksellaceae
Description: Chryseobacterium molle Flavo-1 RNA
Rfam family: Flavo-1 RNA
Source: RNAcentral
CUGCAGCCCGACUUGAGCGGAAAUCCUUUUUUGCUUGUACUUGAUUUCUUUUUAAUGUGAAAUCGUAGUGCAAAAAAGAUUGGGAGCGGAAGGCGGAUUAAGC